Molecule: long non-coding RNA, 581 nt
Filed under: Homo sapiens (human)
Lineage: Eukaryota; Metazoa; Chordata; Mammalia; Primates; Hominidae
Description: HSALNT0242854
Source: RNAcentral
GCACAUGAGUGAUCGGGAUUUGGGCCCUCGCCCUGGGGAUCCUGGCCCGGCCCCAGAGGGGUUUUCACGUCGUGCACUUGCAGGACGUCGGGGGCGCUGCCGCUUAGGCCGCUAAGGGUCUGCUGCGCAAUGUCGUGAGAUGAUAGGUAGACCAGGUCCAGGUCUCUGGGGCUCAGGGCAUCGCUGGAGUCGUAGUCACUGUUGGUGGGGAGGAAGACUUCUGAGCAGGCUUCUUCAUCAGAGCAGGGCUGUGAAUCUGCGAAGCCAGAAACUGAGAGAUGAUUUUUGCAUUUGACAAAGUAGCAGGAAUUUAAAAGGGUGAACGAAGAAGAGGAGACUCCGUUUGCCUGUAACUAGAUGUGUUGGAUGAGGUCAUGGAGCAACCUUGGAGAUAGAAGCCACAUGCUAGGAUGGUGGGGCUGAAAAAUAGAGCUUGUUGCCUGAAGACCAUUACGUCUGCAUAUCAACCUUGAAUUGUCUCCUUUUGAGCUUCUUUCACACAAGAGAGAAAGUAUCUUGUGUUUAUGACAUUCUUAUUUGGGUCUUUGGUAACACGAACCCAAAAUUUAUCCUAACCAAUA